Molecule: non-coding RNA, 731 nt
Organism: Callorhinus ursinus (northern fur seal)
Lineage: Eukaryota; Metazoa; Chordata; Mammalia; Carnivora; Otariidae
Source: RefSeq, a predicted model, not a curated record
GGGGCUGCGGGCAACAGGAAAGGGAGAUGCAGAGCUGAGCAGUCAUAACCCCAAAGGGGCAUCUUCCUCCUCUGAGAAACACCCAUGCCCCAAUCUUCAGUAGAAAAGAUCCCACCUGGAGUUCUUCAGGCUUUUUGUUUUCUUUAGGUAGUGAGGACAGGGAAAGAAAGAUGACAAAGCCCAAAAAAACAAGCUUCCUGCUCUCAGUGCAGGUUUUCACUGAGCACCUACUGUGUGCCCAACCCUGUGCUAAGCUCUUUAUGUGCUUCGACUCAUUGAAUCACCGUAACAGCUCCACAAGCUAGGAACAAGCAUGACCCUCACCGUUCAGACAAGAACCUGGAGCUGCAGAGCUGGGACUCUGACACAGAAAAAGUUUGCCGAUUCCUGCACUACAGUGAAACAGAAGGGUGAGUAGAGAGAAUUUGAUAAGUGAUCAGUUCAUUGUGAAGAUUUUCAUGUGAUUCUCUGGUUUCCCUGUGCAACUCUAACUGUGAAGAUUCCAGACAACAUGCCCAGAAAGCCAGAACCCCCCUGUGCUACAUGUCCAGUGGAAAAAAUUUAAGGGAUUUAUCCUACAGAUGGAUUCCUAAGCAUGCAAAAUGACAUAAGCACAAAGUCAUUUAAUUUAUUACAGCAACAGUCUGUGAACCACCGAAACAUCCAGAUAAAGGAGCAGUUAAAUAAAUUAAGGUCACACGAAGGCAUAAAUGCCAUGUAGGCAUAAAAAA